RNAcentral lists this transfer RNA (73 nucleotides) under Petromyzon marinus (sea lamprey). RNAcentral's name for it is "tRNA-Tyr (GTA) (tRNA-Tyr-GTA-13-1)". It matches the Rfam family "tRNA". Rfam says of the family: Transfer RNA (tRNA) molecules are approximately 80 nucleotides in length. Their secondary structure includes four short double-helical elements and three loops (D, anti-codon, and T loops). Further hydrogen bonds mediate the characteristic L-shaped molecular structure. tRNAs have two regions of fundamental functional importance: the anti-codon, which is responsible for specific mRNA codon recognition, and the 3' end, to which the tRNAs corresponding amino acid is attached (by aminoacyl-tRNA synthetases). tRNAs cope with the degeneracy of the genetic code in two manners: having more than one tRNA (with a specific anti-codon) for a particular amino acid; and 'wobble' base-pairing, i.e. permitting non-standard base-pairing at the 3rd anti-codon position. Lineage: Eukaryota; Metazoa; Chordata; Hyperoartia; Petromyzontiformes; Petromyzontidae. The record is from RNAcentral.
CCUUCGAUAGCUCAGUUGUUAGAGCGGAGGACUGUAGAUCCUUAGGUCGCUGGUUCGACUCCGGCUCGAAGGA